AGUGAACGCUGGCGGUAGGCCUAACACAUGCAAGUCGAACGGCAGCACAGGAGAGCUUGCUCUCUGGGUGGCGAGUGGCGGACGGGUGAGGAAUACAUCGGAAUCUACUCUGUCGUGGGGGAUAACGUAGGGAAACUUACGCUAAUACCGCAUACGACCUACGGGUGAAAGCAGGGGAUCUUCGGACCUUGCGCGAUUGAAUGAGCCGAUGUCGGAUUAGCUAGUUGGCGGGGUAAAGGCCCACCAAGGCGACGAUCCGUAGCUGGUCUGAGAGGAUGAUCAGCCACACUGGAACUGAGACACGGUCCAGACUCCUACGGGAGGCAGCAGUGGGGAAUAUUGAACAAUGGGCGCAAGCCUGAUCCAGCCAUACCGCGUGGGUGAAGAAGGCCUUCGGGUUGUAAAGCCCUUUUGUUGGGAAAGAAAUCCAGCUGGCUAAUACCCGGUUGGGAUGACGGUACCCAAAGAAUAAGCACCGGCUAACUUCGCGCCAGCAGCCGCCGCGG
This 506-nucleotide ribosomal RNA is filed under the name uncultured bacterium. RNAcentral's name for it is "partial 16S ribosomal RNA". It matches the Rfam family "Bacterial small subunit ribosomal RNA", at positions 29 to 523 of the family's 1533-position model. The record is from RNAcentral.